AUUAACGCCAGGCAUUCUGCUGUCCACUUCAAUUCGACUUCUGUGCGCUUUUAGUUGCCUUUAGUUAUUCCUCACAUUAUUUUUUCCAUUCGUUGCCAUCUAGUGUUGGCGUUGUUGUUGCUAUUGUGUUUCGCAGCUUUUAUUGAAAGAUUUAUGAAAUUGACUGCCAUUUGACCAUUUCGUUUGCAAUUUAAUGGAGUCAACGGCGUCAGUUAAUAGACCAGUAGGCCGUACCGCGACACGACACGCCGCGCUAUUAAUGCAAUGAAAGCAAUUUUCUCGCUGCUCUUGAUAAGUGGAUAUGUACAAUACAUAUGAAAACAAUGGGUCGCUGAAAUUAUGGGGAAUUAUGAAUGAGCGCUUUAUGUGAGCUUUGGUGCAAAAUGUGUUGCGAUGGUAUUCGGAUAUAUUUAUAUGCUAUAAAAAUAAAUUUUUGUAUGCGUAAAUUAGAGCUAAUCAGCAUUGUUAAGCCGUUACGUAGUUAGAGUAUGAAUAUGAUCCUAUAUUGUUCGAUUUUCUUCGGAAUAAAGCAGAUUUUUUCAAACUGUA
Long non-coding RNA from Bactrocera oleae (olive fruit fly), 549 nucleotides. RefSeq lists it as uncharacterized. NCBI's taxonomy places the organism in Eukaryota, Metazoa, Arthropoda, Insecta, Diptera, Tephritidae. The record is from RefSeq and is a predicted model, not a curated record.